Molecule: small RNA, 619 nt
Filed under: Histoplasma ohiense
Lineage: Eukaryota; Fungi; Ascomycota; Eurotiomycetes; Onygenales; Ajellomycetaceae
Description: hypothetical lncRNA
Source: RNAcentral
CCGCUAGCUGGCUCCUGGUAUUUGUUCAACAAUAUAGAAAAUAGAAAUUGUGGCUCAAUUAAUACAGCAUUAUUCAUUACCAUUACCAUUAUUAUUAUUGUUAUUUCCGAGCUCUAGGGAUUAUUUUAUUGUUGCAGUUGUUAUCUCACAUGGAGCCCUUGAAGGGUGGGAAGUCCUGACCCUCAAAGUCCAACAAUGUCCCAUCGGAUGGGCUCCUGCGUUUCUUUUUUCUUCUCUUUUCUUUUCGAGUAUGAAUACAAAGUUGUAUGUCUAAAGGCGUCUUCUAAGCUAGAGAAAUAUAUGGCAGCUGAGGUUGGGGGUUGGAAGAUAUAUAUUAUAUACUACUAACUAUAACUGGAUAGUUCUAUGUCAGUUCUCGUUGAAAAUUGGUGCGUUCUGCUUUAUCCAUUCUUUCGUUACUUUAUUUGUUGGGUUCGCUUAUUGCUGGCGAUUUGACUGAGGAGCGUUCGAAGCUCGACUGCUCCUCGGACAGCGACAAUGGUUUGUAGAGUGUAGCAUGAUGGAUUUGUGGGGGGGGGGUUGUAUGGGCGUGUUGUAAAGUACUGUACAUAAUAAGUGUUUCCACACGCUAUCGCCGCAUUUUGCGAUAUCUCGGGUU